UACGUAGGUCCCGAGCGUUGUCCGGAUUUAUUGGGCGUAAAGCGAGCGCAGGUGGUUUAUUAAGUCUGGUGUAAAAGGCAGUGGCUCAACCAUUGUAUGCAUUGGAAACUGGUAGACUUGAGUGCAGGAGAGGAGAGUGGAAUUCCAUGUGUAGCGGUGAAAUGCAUAGAUAUAUGGAGGAACACCGGUGGCGAAAGCGGCUCUCUGGCCUGUAACUGACACUGAGGCUCGAAAGCGUGGGGAGCAAACAGG
RNAcentral lists this ribosomal RNA (252 nucleotides) under uncultured bacterium. RNAcentral describes it as "partial 16S ribosomal RNA". It matches the Rfam family "Bacterial small subunit ribosomal RNA", at positions 524 to 776 of the family's 1533-position model. The record is from RNAcentral.